GACAACCAGCCCUCCAAGCCAGGACUGCUUCUGACUAGUUUUUGAGAAAAAGUCUUGGUCUCGGGUUCACUCAGAGAGGACAGCCAUGCCCAACUUAUUCUAUUAGGAAACUGGGGUGUGAAGAGGUUGAGGGAUUUACCCAAGGUCAUUCAACUGUUAAAUGGCAAAAUCAGAAAUUAAUCCAAGUGUGGAUGAAACAAAUAACAUUUUGAAAGAUUGAGAAGGGAGAAACAGCCUUCCCCUGUGGAGGAAAGAUCAUCACUAUGGGCUCUGAAGCAGGGCAUCCCAGACAACAUAUGGAGAAAAUGGAAUGGUUUAUCUUGCCAGGAGCCUGCAUUGGAAAAGGAUGUUCAAAUCAGCAAAUAUUUCCGAGCCAUGUGGACAAACAAACCCCUGAGAAUCUUUCAUAACUUAGAUUUCUCAUUUAACAUCAUACCAUAAGUAAACUGCAUGACUAAGGUGAAGUAUAGACGGCCUUCCAUUGCUUCGUUCCAGCUCUCUGAGCUUCCAGCGGAACAAGCACCGAACAGAUGCCAAAGACAGCUUGGAAACUUCCAAAAGGGUUUGAACAGCAGUUACUAUUAGUCCUUUAUCUGAGGCAUCCAGCGUUGGCAUCAGAAGCAGCCAUUGUGCUUGCCAAGGGGCUCAGGUGGCAUUCUGCAGGGACUACUUACUUGUAACACCAUGCAGUGGUUUGUAUUCCCCUCAAAAUCCAAGACAAAAAUAGAGACGAAGAAUAUGGAGAAAAUUGGAAGAAAAAAAUUGUUUCAAAGAAAUGUUGUCUUUUAAUAGUUUACGACAAAGUUCACACUCAAGACUGAGCAUUGGUCAAAAAGAUUCUAGCAAAAUUUUGUGCAACUUCCCACCUUCUUCUAAUAUGUCUGGCUGAACAUUUCCUCUGCCUUAAAAAAAGUGAGGGUGAUGGAAUGUCCGGUAAAACCAUGACUUUUAAGUCCCCAGCCAUCUUCAGAGUCACAGCUCCCUCCUUACUCUGAGCCCUCUGAGCCCUGACCUCUGCGGGACCUUCACUCUUGCUUGUUUUGGCCUCUAUCUGCUCUGCUGCAGUCCUACUGAUUUUUCUUACCCUCCAUCCUCUCGUCUAAACUGUCUUCCCCAACUGUAUUUCAGGCCAACAUUUAAUUUUUCCCCUGGUUACACUUUUCAUAAACACUUCAAUUUUAGCCCUUAUUCUAAAGUAUGGCUUGCAGUCAAGCUGUGAAAGACAGAAAAACAACCACUUUGUAUACCUCAAUUUUAACACCCAUAAUAAUGCAUUCUGAUUAUCUUUUGUGUGUCAGUUUUACCAACUAGAUUUUGAGCUCUCCAAAAGCUGGUACCAGGUCCCAUUUAUCACUAUUCUCCUAAUCCUGGCGCAGAAUCUGACACACAGCUGAUAAUGAAUCAAAAGAAGUUAAAUAAAUGAAAAGUGAGGGUCCUUCAUCUGUAUAAAAAAAAAAAAAGAUGUUUCUAUACUUAACAGAGUCCCCCGUAUUUGGGGAAAAGUUUUAUUUUCUCUAUUUCUUAGCAUAAUGUGGGCUGUGGGGUCAGAUCUGGGGUCAAAUCCUAACUCCUUCCCUUUGUACUUGUCUUACUUUUACAAGUUAAUGAAGCAUUGUAAAAUAUGAACAUUAAUAACGAGCACCUUGUGGAGUUCUUACUGGAAACAAAUAAGAUAAUGAAUGUAAAGGCCUCAUCCUAGUGCCUAGUGUAAACUGAACUCAAUUAAUAUUAGUUAUUAACAUAAUUGUUAUAAUUAAUACUCAGGUAAGUCUCUUAAUUCUCUCUAAGUUGUAUUGGGCUCAGAGGUCUUUGGGUUAUUGUUUUCUCUCUUCCUCCACCUAGAGUGAAAAAACCUGACCCUUUAAAAAUACAAAUUGUUUCCCCUUUUAGAC
This 1892-nucleotide long non-coding RNA is filed under the name Equus caballus (horse). Its description in RNAcentral is "lncRNA (ENSECAG00000033069.2)". The record is from RNAcentral. Lineage: Eukaryota; Metazoa; Chordata; Mammalia; Perissodactyla; Equidae.